Molecule: ribosomal RNA, 1887 nt
Filed under: Vibrio cholerae RC27
Lineage: Bacteria; Pseudomonadati; Pseudomonadota; Gammaproteobacteria; Vibrionales; Vibrionaceae
Description: bacterial LSU rRNA
Rfam family: Bacterial large subunit ribosomal RNA
Source: RNAcentral
UUGCUAAGUGGGAAACGAUGUGGGAAGGCUCAGACAGCUAGGAUGUUGGCUUAGAAGCAGCCAUCAUUUAAAGAAAGCGUAAUAGCUCACUAGUCGAGUCGGCCUGCGCGGAAGAUGUAACGGGGCUAAGCAAUACACCGAAGCUGCGGCAAUGUCUUUUAGACAUUGGGUAGGGGAGCGUUCUGUAAGCCGUUGAAGGUGAAUCGUAAGGUUUGCUGGAGGUAUCAGAAGUGCGAAUGCUGACAUGAGUAACGACAAAGGGGGUGAAAAACCUCCUCGCCGGAAGACCAAGGGUUCCUGUCCAACGUUAAUCGGGGCAGGGUGAGUCGACCCCUAAGGUGAGGCCGAAAGGCGUAAUCGAUGGGAAACGGGUUAAUAUUCCCGUACUUCUGACUAUUGCGAUGGGGGGACGGAGAAGGCUAGGUGGGCCAGGCGACGGUUGUCCUGGUUCAAGUGCGUAGGCUUGAGAGUUAGGUAAAUCCGGCUCUCUCUAAGGCUGAGACACGACGUCGAGCUACUACGGUAGUGAAGUCAUUGAUGCCAUGCUUCCAGGAAAAGCCUCUAAGCUUCAGAUAGUCAGGAAUCGUACCCCAAACCGACACAGGUGGUCGGGUAGAGAAUACCAAGGCGCUUGAGAGAACUCGGGUGAAGGAACUAGGCAAAAUGGUACCGUAACUUCGGGAGAAGGUACGCUCUUGAUGGUGAAGUCCCUCGCGGAUGGAGCUGACGAGAGUCGCAGAUACCAGGUGGCUGCAACUGUUUAUUAAAAACACAGCACUGUGCAAAAUCGCAAGAUGACGUAUACGGUGUGACGCCUGCCCGGUGCCGGAAGGUUAAUUGAUGGGGUUAGCGCAAGCGAAGCUCUUGAUCGAAGCCCCGGUAAACGGCGGCCGUAACUAUAACGGUCCUAAGGUAGCGAAAUUCCUUGUCGGGUAAGUUCCGACCUGCACGAAUGGCGUAAUGAUGGCCACGCUGUCUCCACCCGAGACUCAGUGAAAUUGAAAUCGCUGUGAAGAUGCAGUGUACCCGCGGCUAGACGGAAAGACCCCGUGAACCUUUACUACAGCUUGGCACUGAACAUUGAACCUACAUGUGUAGGAUAGGUGGGAGGCUAUGAAGACGUGACGCCAGUUGCGUUGGAGCCGUCCUUGAAAUACCACCCUUGUAUGUUUGAUGUUCUAACUUAGACCCGUUAUCCGGGUUGAGGACAGUGCCUGGUGGGUAGUUUGACUGGGGCGGUCUCCUCCCAAAGAGUAACGGAGGAGCACGAAGGUGGGCUAAUCACGGUUGGACAUCGUGAGGUUAGUGCAAUGGCAUAAGCCCGCUUAACUGCGAGAAUGACGGUUCGAGCAGGUGCGAAAGCAGGUCAUAGUGAUCCGGUGGUUCUGUAUGGAAGGGCCAUCGCUCAACGGAUAAAAGGUACUCCGGGGAUAACAGGCUGAUACCGCCCAAGAGUUCAUAUCGACGGCGGUGUUUGGCACCUCGAUGUCGGCUCAUCACAUCCUGGGGCUGAAGUCGGUCCCAAGGGUAUGGCUGUUCGCCAUUUAAAGUGGUACGCGAGCUGGGUUUAGAACGUCGUGAGACAGUUCGGUCCCUAUCUGCCGUGGGCGUUGGAAGAUUGAAGGGGGCUGCUCCUAGUACGAGAGGACCGGAGUGGACGAACCUCUGGUGUUCGGGUUGUGUCGCCAGACGCAUUGCCCGGUAGCUAAGUUCGGAAUUGAUAAGCGCUGAAAGCAUCUAAGCGCGAAGCGAGCCCUGAGAUGAGUCUUCCCUGACAGUUUAACUGUCCUAAAGGGUUGUUCGAGACUAGAACGUUGAUAGGCAGGGUGUGUAAGCGUUGUGAGGCGUUGAGCUAACCUGUACUAAUUGCCCGUGAGGCUUAACCAU